Molecule: microRNA, 23 nt
Filed under: Eisenia fetida (common brandling worm)
Lineage: Eukaryota; Metazoa; Annelida; Clitellata; Crassiclitellata; Lumbricidae
Description: Efe-Mir-76_3p (mature (guide))
Source: RNAcentral
UUCGUUGUUGUUGAAAUUCGUUG